This 484-nucleotide ribosomal RNA is filed under the name uncultured bacterium. RNAcentral describes it as "partial 16S ribosomal RNA". It matches the Rfam family "Bacterial small subunit ribosomal RNA", at positions 30 to 507 of the family's 1533-position model. The record is from RNAcentral.
AUUGAACGCUGGCGGCAGGCCUAACACAUGCAAGUCGAGCGGAUGAAGGCAGCUUGCUCCUGGAUUCAGCGGCGCACGGGUGAGUAAUGCCUAGGAAUCUGCCUGCUAGUGGGGGAUAACGUCUGGAAACGGGCGCUAAUACCGCAUACGUCCUGCGGGAGAAAGUGGGGGAGCUUCGGACCUCACGCUCUCAGAUGAGCCUAGGUCGGAUUAGCUAGUUGGUGGGGUAAAGGCCUACCAAGGCGACGAUCCGUAACUGGUCUGAGAGGAUGAUCAGUCACACUGGAACUGAGACACGGUCCAGACUCCUACGGGAGGCAGCAGUGGGGAAUAUUGGACAGUGGGCGAAAGCCUGAUCCAGCCAUGCCGCGUGUGUGAAGAAGGUCUUCGGAUUGUAAAGCACUUUAAGUUGGGAGGAAGGGCAGUAAGUUAAUACCUUGCUGUUUUGACGUUACCAACAGAAUAAGCACCGGCUAACUUCGUG